AGAGUUUGAUCCUGGCUCAGGACGAACGCUGGCGGCACGCUUAACACAUGCAAGUCGAACGAGAGAAGAGGAGCUUGCUUUUCUGAUCUAGUGGCGGACGGGUGAGUAACACGUGAGCAAUCUGCCUUUCAGAGGGGGAUACCGAUUGGAAACGAUCGUUAAUACCGCAUAACAUAAUUGAACCGCAUGAUUUGAUUAUCAAAGAUUUAUCGCUGAAAGAUGAGCUCGCGUCUGAUUAGCUAGUUGGUAAGGUAACGGCUUACCAAGGCGACGAUCAGUAGCCGGACUGAGAGGUUGAUCGGCCACAUUGGGACUGAGACACGGCCCAGACUCCUACGGGAGGCAGCAGUGGGGAAUAUUGCACAAUGGAGGAAACUCUGAUGCAGCGAUGCCGCGUGAGGGAAGAAGGUUUUAGGAUUGUAAACCUCUGUCUUCAGGGACGAAAAAAGACGGUACCUGAGGAGGAAGCUCCGGCUAACUACGUGCCAGCAGCCGCGGUAAUACGUAGGGAGCGAGCGUUGUCCGGAAUUACUGGGUGUAAAGGGAGCGUAGGCGGGAUCGCAAGUCAGAUGUGAAAACUAUGGGCUUAACCCAUAAACUGCAUUUGAAACUGUGGUUCUUGAGUGAAGUAGAGGUAAGCGGAAUUCCUAGUGUAGCGGUGAAAUGCGUAGAUAUUAGGAGGAACAUCAGUGGCGAAGGCGGCUUACUGGGCUUUAACUGACGCUGAGGCUCGAAAGCGUGGGGAGCAAACAGGAUUAGAUACCCUGGUAGUCCACGCCGUAAACGAUGAUUACUAGGUGUGGGGGGACUGACCCCUUCCGUGCCGCAGCAAACGCAAUAAGUAAUCCACCUGGGGAGUACGACCGCAAGGUUGAAACUCAAAGGAAUUGACGGGGGCCCGCACAAGCAGUGGAGUAUGUGGAUUAAUUCGAAGCAACGCGAAGAACCUUACCAGGUCUUGACAUCGUAUGCAUAGCUCAGAGAUGAGUGAAAUCUCUUCGGAGACAUAUAGACAGGUGGUGCAUGGUUGUCGUCAGCUCGUGUCGUGAGAUGUUGGGUUAAGUCCCGCAACGAGCGCAACCCUUACUGUUAGUUGCUACGCAAGAGCACUCUAGCAGGACUGCCGUUGACAAAACGGAGGAAGGUGGGGAUGAUGUCAAAUCAUCAUGCCCCUUAUGACCUGGGCCUCACACGUACUACAAUGGCUGUCAACAGAGGGAAGCAAAGCCGCGAGGUGGAGCGAACCCCUAAAAGCAGUCUUAGUUCGGAUUGUAGGCUGCAACCCGCCUACAUGAAGUCGGAAUUGCUAGUAAUCGCAGAUCAGCAUGCUGCGGUGAAUACGUUCCCGGGCCUUGUACACACCGCCCGUCACGCCAUGGGAGUCGGUAACACCCGAAGCCUGUAGUCUAACCGCAAGGAGGACGCAGUCGAAGGUGGGAUUGAUGACUGGGGUGAAGUCGUAACAAGGUA
RNAcentral lists this ribosomal RNA (1470 nucleotides) under metagenome. Its description in RNAcentral is "bacterial SSU rRNA". It matches the Rfam family "Bacterial small subunit ribosomal RNA". The record is from RNAcentral.